GACGAACGCUGGCGGCGUGCCUAAUACAUGCAAGUCGAGCGGACGGAUGGGAGCUUGCUCCCAGACCGUCAGGGGCGGGCGGGUGAGUAACACGUGGGAAACCUGCCUGUAAGACUGGGAUAACUCCGGGAAACCGGGGCUAAUAACGGAUAACUCUUUCCCUCACAUGAGGGAAAGCUGAAAGAUGGCAUUUCGCUAUCACUUACAGAUGGGCCCGCGGCGCAUUAGCUAGUUGGUGAGGUAACGGCUCACCAAGGCGACGAUGCGUAGCCGACCUGAGAGGGUGAUCGGCCACACUGGGACUGAGACACGGCCCAGACUCCUACGGGAGGCAGCAGUAGGGAAUCUUCCGCAAUGGGCGAAAGUCUGACGGAGCAACGCCGCGUGAGUGAUGAAGGUUUUCGGAUCGUGAAACUCUGUUGUCAGGGAAGAACAAGUACCGGAGUAACUGCCGGUACCUUGACGGUACCUGACCAGAAAGCCACGGCUAACUACGUG
RNAcentral lists this ribosomal RNA (498 nucleotides) under uncultured bacterium. Its description in RNAcentral is "partial 16S ribosomal RNA". It matches the Rfam family "Bacterial small subunit ribosomal RNA", at positions 28 to 507 of the family's 1533-position model. The record is from RNAcentral.